UUGAUUGGCUCACCUAACUUAUCUCUACUGAGUUUGUACAUUACAGAGGACUGCUUUCAUCCCUUAUCUCCUUUGCUUCUGCUAGCUCAAAGCUACCUGAUUUCUUCAAGGUUUCCUUGUCUUCUUCAGUUUAAGACUACAAUCUGUGAGAUCCUGAAGCUUAAACACCCUUCUCGUGAAAAGAAGGGGGCUCCUUGCAUCUUUUUCCUUUCUUUUGUAGAAAAUGGAAAUUAAAAAGAUGUGAGUAUAUGAGUAAGUGUCUGACAUGACACAGUAUCCUUUCAGGGUUGUCUUCUGUGGAGAAGUGAGAAAGUAAAUUUUCACUUAGCACAAAUGAGAUUGUAACUUAAGGACUUGUCUAUUUGGUAAUGUGGAUAUGAAUUAUUCUUCCAGUAAAUGAGAGGAGAAGUUGAGAAGGCUGAAAGAGCUUUAAAGGGCUGAGUAACCCAUUUUUUUCUUAGCAUUUUAUGUUGUGUGUAACAGUGAAAUUUAAGGAAGAGUAUUCUGAAACCAGUGUACCAGUGUCUCUGAGGAUGGGCAAACCAACUAAAAAAAAGAUUGAGAAAUAAAAGCACAAGUUUAUUUUUUUAUUUUAAAUCCCCCAAGCUGUUCCUCUUUGU
This is a long non-coding RNA of Oxyura jamaicensis (ruddy duck), 620 nucleotides long. RefSeq lists it as uncharacterized. The transcript has 4 exons. The record is from RefSeq and is a predicted model, not a curated record. NCBI's taxonomy places the organism in Eukaryota, Metazoa, Chordata, Aves, Anseriformes, Anatidae.